RNAcentral lists this ribosomal RNA (739 nucleotides) under uncultured Proteiniclasticum sp. RNAcentral describes it as "bacterial SSU rRNA". It matches the Rfam family "Bacterial small subunit ribosomal RNA", at positions 28 to 774 of the family's 1533-position model. The record is from RNAcentral. Lineage: Bacteria; Bacillati; Bacillota; Clostridia; Eubacteriales; Clostridiaceae.
GACGAACGCUGGCGGCGUGCCUAACACAUGCAAGUCGAGCGGAGAAUGCAGAAAUGUUUACAUGGAAGCGUUCUUAGCGGCGGACGGGUGAGUAACACGUGGGUAACCUGCCUCAAAGUGGGGGAUAGCCUUCCGAAAGGAAGAUUAAUACCGCAUAAGCCUACAGUGCCGCAUGGCACAGCAGGAAAAGGAGCAAUCCGCUUUGAGAUGGACCCGCGGCGCAUUAGCUAGUUGGUGAGGUAACGGCUCACCAAGGCGACGAUGCGUAGCCGACCUGAGAGGGUGAUCGGCCACAUUGGAACUGAGACACGGUCCAGACUCCUACGGGAGGCGGCAGUGGGGAAUAUUGCACAAUGGGCGAAAGCCUGAUGCAGCAACGCCGCGUGAGUGAUGAAGGCCUUCGGGUCGUAAAGCUCUUUGAUCAGGGAUGAUAAUGGCAGUACCUGAAAAACAAGCCACGGCUAACUACGUGCCAGCAGCCGCGGUAAUACGUAGGUGGCGAGCGUUGUCCGGAAUUACUGGGCGUAAAGGAUGCGUAGGUGGAUACUUAAGUGGGAUGUGAAAUCCCCGGGCUCAACCCGGGAACUGCAUUCCAAACUGGGUAUCUAGAGUGCAGGAGAGGAAAGCGGAAUUCCUAGUGUAGCGGUGAAAUGCGUAGAUAUUAGGAGGAACACCAGUGGCGAAGGCGGCUUUCUGGACUGUAACUGACACUGAGGCAUGAAAGCGUGGGUAGCAAACA